RNAcentral lists this ribosomal RNA (433 nucleotides) under uncultured bacterium. Its description in RNAcentral is "partial 16S ribosomal RNA". It matches the Rfam family "Bacterial small subunit ribosomal RNA", at positions 29 to 507 of the family's 1533-position model. The record is from RNAcentral.
AACGAACGCUGGCGGCAUGCCUAACACAUGCAAGUCGAACGAGACCUUCGGGUCUAGUGGCGCACGGGUGCGUAACGCGUGGGAACCUGCCCUUAGGUUCGGAAUAACUCCCCGAAAGGGGUGCUAAUACCGGAUAAUGUCUUCGGACCAAAGAUUUAUCGCCUUUGGAUGGGCCCGCGUUGGAUUAGCUAGUUGGUAGGGUAAAAGCCUACCAAGGCGACGAUCCAUAGCUGGUCUGAGAGGAUGAUCAGCCACACUGGGACUGAGACACGGCCCAGGCUCCUACGGGAGGCAGCAGUGGGGAAUAUUGGACAAUGGGCGAAAGCCUGAUCCAGCAAUGCCGCGUGAGUGAUGAAGGCCUUAGGGUUGUAAAGCUCUUUUACCCGGGAUGAUAAUGACAGUACCGGGAGAAUAAGCUCUGGCUAACUCCGUG